This 552-nucleotide ribosomal RNA is filed under the name Streptomyces lavendulocolor. Its description in RNAcentral is "bacterial SSU rRNA". It matches the Rfam family "Bacterial small subunit ribosomal RNA", at positions 746 to 1290 of the family's 1533-position model. Lineage: Bacteria; Bacillati; Actinomycetota; Actinomycetes; Kitasatosporales; Streptomycetaceae. The record is from RNAcentral.
CUGUGGAGCGAAAGCGUGGGGAGCGAACAGGAUUAGAUACCCUGGUAGUCCACGCCGUAAACGUUGGGAACUAGGUGUUGGCGACAUUCCACGUCGUCGGUGCCGCAGCUAACGCAUUAAGUUCCCCGCCUGGGGAGUACGGCCGCAAGGCUAAAACUCAAACCAAUUGACGGGGGCCCGCACAAGCAGCGGAGCAUGUGGCUUAAUUCGACGCAACGCGAAGAACCUUACCAAGGCUUGACAUAUACCGGAAACGGCCAGAGAUGGUCGCCCCCUUGUGGUCGGUAUACAGGUGGUGCAUGGCUGUCGUCAGCUCGUGUCGUGAGAUGUUGGGUUAAGUCCCGCAACGAGCGCAACCCUUGUUCUGUGUUGCCAGCAUGCCCUUCGGGGUGAUGCGGACUCACAGGAGACUGCCGGGGUCAACUCGGAGGAAGGUGGGGUCGACGUCAAGUCAUCAUGCCCCUUAUGUCUUGGGCUGCACACGUGCUACAAUGGCCGGUACAAAGAGCUGCGAUGCCGUGAGGCGGAGCGAAUCUCAAAAAGCCGGUCUCA